Molecule: long non-coding RNA, 2576 nt
Organism: Talpa occidentalis (Iberian mole)
Lineage: Eukaryota; Metazoa; Chordata; Mammalia; Eulipotyphla; Talpidae
Exons: 3
Source: RefSeq, a predicted model, not a curated record
CAUGUUUCUGUUUUUUUUUUUUUUUUUUUAUUCUUGGGCAAGAACCGAUUCGCAGUCUUGAAGUACUGGUAGACUGCAGCGGUCAGGGCUGCUCCCACACGGGGGCCGGGGGGUGCAGGAGCCAAAGGAGACAGCACGGGAGGGGCAGGCUGGGAGCCCAUCUGGCUCUGUGCCGGAGGCUGCCCCUAGGUUUGGUUUUGUGACCUGAGGCACGACGGGCUGAGACUUGGUUAGUGACACAGGCCACGGGGACAAGAGAGCUGCCCGCCUGGCGGCCUCCUGGUUUGAUGACUCGAACACCCUGGAGCCACUUUUGCAGAACAACUACGACCACCGCUGGGAAUCAGUGCUCCACAGCACGCACUUUGGGAAAGGCGUGCCAUAGCAGCACGCGCCUGCGCGACGGAAGGCAGUGGGGAGAUGGCUCCAGACACUAAACACAGAAAUUCCAUACAAUCCUGCUCUCCCCGUUCUGGAUAUUUACCUGAAAAAUACAAAAAAACUAUUUUGAAGCUUCUUUACCCCCAUGUUGAUUGCAACAACCCUCAACAGCCAAGGACUGGAAGCCAACGCCACUGACAGAUGAGUGGAGAAAGAAGGUGAGUCUGCACGCACCCGGGGACGAUUCCUCAUCUCUAAGAACGGAUGCGGCCCUGCCAUUUGUGACAACACAGGCGGGCCUGGCAGGUGUGCACUAAGUGAAGUAAGGCAGGUAGAGAAAGUCAAAUACCCUGUGAUUUCACUCAUGUGCAAUAUGCAGACUCCAGACGAUAAAAUGAGCUGACUCAACAAAAAUUAAUGUUGGACUACAAAAAUUAAGGGAUAUGAAAAAGAGGAAAGAAAUAAACAGCAAAAGCAAACACACAUACUUAAACGGGAAGCCCUGGAGGUUACUUUUGAAAAAGACAUGUACACUGCACGCACCACCCCCCACGCCCCCACCCAGGGCUGGAGGGAAGGCCGGCACAGUGGAGAAGCUACAGAGAACACCAAGAAGGAGGCUGAGGACCUGGACGGGUAGUGGCGGAGCAAAGGGCUUCUCAACCUCAGCACUGGAAACAUUCUUUGGUGGGUGGAGGCGUGACCUCUGCCCACUGGAUGCCAGUGGCACCCACCCCAUAACUGUGUCAAUCACAGAAGUCUUCUAGACAUUGCAACUGUUCCCUGUGGGUGACCUCAGCCCGGGUUCAGAAUCACCGCAUGUGUCUGUCUGGGAUUUGAAGGUGCAGAAGAAAAGGGGGGAAGCAAACCCUGAGGCAGCAAACCCUUGUCUAAGACCGGCCAAUGGGCGUGUCUAAGGUGACCCGACUCCAAAGAGAGAAGCAGCCUCCGGCCCCAUCCGGCUACCUGGGGAAAAAGCUACUCUCAAGGCUGUGGUGGGCAUCCUUGUGACGAAACAUCAAGGCAGGCUGAGGCUUCUUGGCACGCACAGCCUGGGAAGCGCGCGGAGGCUGGCUGGUGCAGAGCAGCACGGGAAGGUGUCGCUCAGCAGAAGCUAACUGGCACUGUGAGCCUCUCCAGCUGCCUUGCAGUGACUGCCACGUCACAUCACUUCUAGACACAGUCCUCUGAGCCUUCCCUCAGAUGUCUCUCCCCGGCUCUACCGCAGGGCCCGCCUGGCUGUGCCCGCUGAGCACUGCACUGUGGCCCACAGGGGCCGCCAUCAGCUGACUGUGCCAACAGGCGCACGAUUUCUUUUUAAGUUUCCUCUUAGAAAUAAAGCAGGACUGUCAUGAUAGCCCUCAUCCUUAGAAUGAUUUCAAUGGGUUAUAUUAUUUAAUAUUGCCAACGACACGGGAUGAAAGAAUGCAACAGCUCACGUUGAGCAUGUGGGGACCGCUCACGUCUUCCUCUGCAUUGUUAUUUAUAACAACAAUCACCUUAAUUAUUGUUAAUGGAAUAAUUCCCUUUGGUCAAAUUUUAAUUUAGACAUCGUCCAGCUACAAUUCAAUCUUACACAGAUGGCGCCUCCGUACCACCAAAGUGAACAUUUGACAAAAGUUGUUACUUGAACCUGAAUACAUCUGCUAGAAGGCGUUAAUCACCUUGUAGUUUUGACAACAACGUAAAAGUGGAAUUAAGGAGAGGAAUAAGCUGAAAGCUAUGUGUUUGGGGCUGGUCACUGAAGAUGACACUGCAUUAUAAAUAGAGGAUUCUGCCCUUUAAUUUUCAUCUUUCGAAUCUCUUUAUCUCGUAGUCAAAUGUUUGCAUGAAUCAAAUCUUAAAUAUGGAGAAGCUUUUUUAUAAAAAAAAAAAAAAAGCACAAAUGUGCAACACAGCAUUUUCUAGAGACCAGAAUGAAUGCAGAACAACUUCCUAAACUGGAGUUAGAGCUGAAGUGACAGGCUCUGCACCAUUUCCUGGCCCAGACUGAGCAGGAGAGGUCACGCUGUCCCGAGCACAGGUCUCAGUGGCCUUGGGUGCACUUUCAUUUUGCCGCAGGGGAAGGAAUGAAGAAAGAGCUGCUCUCCGCAUUCUCCCGGGCAGGGCGCUCAUCACUUGGCAAGCCUGCUGCGUUCCUCCUUCCUCCGGCUGGAGGCAGCCCACGCAGAGCUGGGCCUCAGCGCCCUGGGGCU